Molecule: ribosomal RNA, 495 nt
Filed under: uncultured bacterium
Lineage: Bacteria
Description: bacterial SSU rRNA
Rfam family: Bacterial small subunit ribosomal RNA
Source: RNAcentral
GAUGAACGCUAGCGGCAGGCUUAAUACAUGCAAGUCGUGGGGCAGCAUGAGUAGCAAUACUUGAUGGCGACCGGCAAACGGGUGAGGAACACGUACACAACCUUCCUUCAAGCGGGGAAUAGCCCAGAGAAAUUUGGAUUAAUACCCCGUAAUAUAUUUGAUAAGGCAUCUUAUUAAUAUUAAAAGCUUCGGCACUUGAUGAUGGGUGUGCGGCUGAUUAGAUAGUUGGCGGGGUAACGGCCCACCAAGUCUACGAUCAGUAGCUGAUGUGAGAGCAUGAUCAGCCACACGGGCACUGAGACACGGGCCCGACUCCUACGGGAGGCAGCAGUAAGGAAUAUUGGACAAUGGACGAAAGUCUGAUCCAGCCAUGCCGCGUGAAGGAUUAAGGUCCUCUGGAUUGUAAACUUCUUUUAUAUGGACGAAAAAGGGCAAUUCUUGUUCACUUGACGGUACCAUAUGAAUAAGCACCGGCUAACUCCGUGCCAGCAGCCG